Molecule: transfer RNA, 64 nt
Filed under: Psococerastis albimaculata
Lineage: Eukaryota; Metazoa; Arthropoda; Insecta; Psocodea; Psocidae
Description: tRNA-Val
Source: RNAcentral
UAGAAAAUAGCUUAACUAAAAGCGAUUUAUUUACAUUAAAAUGAUACUAUAAUAGUUUUUCUAA